This 1033-nucleotide long non-coding RNA is filed under the name Calidris pygmaea (Spoon-billed sandpiper). Its description in RNAcentral is "lncRNA (ENSCPGG00000001646.1)". Lineage: Eukaryota; Metazoa; Chordata; Aves; Charadriiformes; Scolopacidae. The record is from RNAcentral.
GGCAGCCCCGAGCCGCCGCGGCACGGCGAGUCGCCGCUGUCUUCGCAGUACCGGAGCGCCUUCGAGCUGGAGUGCUUGGACAUCGCCGUCCGCCUGGAGCUCGGCCUCCCCGCCCACUCACCGGCCUCCUCUGAGGCCAGCAGCCCCUUCCCCGCCGGCGGCGAGCUCCUCACCUCCACCCCGCUCCGCCUCUCGCCGCCCCCUGCCCGGGAGAUCCUGGCCGGCCCCGGUCCGGAUGGCUGCCAUCCCACCGCCGCCCCGGGCCCGUCCUUCGAGGAAUCCGCCUGUUCCGCCGCGGCGCCGCCCCCCGACGGCCCGCCGGUCCGGCCCCGCAAGGCGGCUCAGCGCGGUACCGGGCAGCAGCCCCGCGGCGGGCCGGGCUCCGCCGGCCGCUCCCGGGGACGCGUCAAGGUCUCCCUCCUCCAGGCACGGGUCCCCGGGAGGAGCCCGGGGCUCCCCAAGGCCCGUAGGGCGGUGGGUACCCCGGGGCCGAGGUCCCGGUACCCAGGUGAGGCGGGGGGCUGCGGGGGAGCCCCAGCGCGGCCGCCGCUGCCCCGGGGGCGCAAACCCCUCUCUCCUCCUCAGGGAGCAGGCUCCAGCGUCCCAGCGGGGCCUUCCAGCUGCCACAAGCCCCCGCCAUGCCGAAAGCUGCCCCCCGGGACGCGGGGAGUGGAGAAGGACUUCAGCCUGCAUGGGAGCUGGGAUGCAGCAGCACCUGGGAGCUCCCAGAAACCGGUGAGAGAAGGAAAUGCCCGGUUGCAGCAGGAGCUGUCCCUGGAGCAGGUGAGCAGUGUGGAGGUGUGGAAUGCACAGGGGUGGGGGCUGGUGCUUGCACCCCUGGAGAGAGGAGCCUCUCUGGAGCUUUCCUGGCUCCUGACUGCCAAAGACCUGCUGAAAACCAAGCGUCCUGGGAGCAUACACGGUGAGGAGAGUCUACGUUUCUGCUUUGGGCUCUGGUGGAUCUCGCACGGGGAAACUGCUUGUCGGGCAGUGCUGCUCCCCAGCAGGGUUCUUGCUGAACGUGCUCGCCGUG